Molecule: long non-coding RNA, 724 nt
Filed under: Zonotrichia albicollis (white-throated sparrow)
Lineage: Eukaryota; Metazoa; Chordata; Aves; Passeriformes; Passerellidae
Description: lncRNA (ENSZALG00000000489.1)
Source: RNAcentral
CCCUGAUCUCCUUGGAUUGAUCUCAGCUCCUUCCUGAUCUCCUUGGAUUGAUCCCAGCCCCUCCCUGAUCCCUCUGGAUCAAUCCCAGCUCCUCUGGAUUGAUCCCAGCUCCCUCCAACCCCUCUGGAUCACUCCCAGUUGCUCCCUGAUCCCUCUGGAUCGACCCCAGCUCCUCCCUGAUCUGUUUGGAUCAAUCCCAGUCCCUCUGGAUCGAUCCCAGCUCCUCCCUGAUCUGUUUGGAUCAAUCCCAGUCCCUCUGGAUCCAUCCCAGCUCCUUCCAGUCCCUCUGGAUCACUCCCAGUUGCUCCCUGAUCACUCUGGAUCAACCCAAGCCCCUCUGGAUCGAUCCCAGCUCCUCCCUGACCCCUCUGGAUUUGAUCUCAAUUCCUCCCUGAUCCCUUUGGACCAAUCCCAGCUCCUUCCAACCCCUCUGGCUUGAUCUCAGUUUUCUCUGGAUCGAUCCUGGAUCCUCCCUGAUCCCUCUGGAUCGAUCCCAGCCCUUCUGGAUCACUCAAUCCCCAGUCCUUACCCUCCCCCAGGCUCUCCAGCCCCACAGUGGAUCCCUGAGGGAUGCCCCCCACUCCAGAAGGAUAUUUUUUGAUUUAAAGAUCCCCAUUUGGUGCCCCCAUCCCCACAGUGGAUCCCUGAGGGAUCCCCCAUUUUGUGAGCCCCAUUUUGGGUUCCAACCCCCCCGUUUGUGCCCCCAUCCCCACAGUGGAUCCCU